CNGUGAAACWGCAGAUGGCUCAUUAAAUCAGUUAUAAUUUCUUUGAUGGUCGUAGUUUCUUUUUCUUUUUUCAUAUUUCGGUGUGGAAAGAGAGGAAUGAAAUACUAAAUGGAUAGCCGUACUAAUUGUGGAGCUAAUACAUGCACUGAUAAGACCUUUUUUGGUUUUAUUAUUGAAAGAGUCUCAAUCCCAAGUCUCGAUUUGGGAGAGAGAUGUGUUUAUUAGACGCGAAACUAUGUCUCUUCGGAGGCUACGGUGAAUCACAAUAACCUGAUCGAAUCGCAUGUUCUUUCAUUUUGGAAGGAUGGCGAUAGUUCAUUCAAAUUUCUGCUUUAUCAACUUUUGUCGGGUGUAUAGAGGACAUCUGAGGUGAUAACGAAUGGCGGGGAAUAAGGGUUCGGUUCCGGAGAGGGCGCCUGAGAAAUGGCGACCACAUCCAAGGAAGGCAGCAGGCGCGCAAAUUACCCAAUCCUAACACAGGGAGGUAGUGACAAGAAAUAUCAAUACCGGGUUCUUUUAGAGCUUGGUAAUUGAAAUGAGUACAAUUUAAACCCCUUAACGAGGAUCAACUGGAGGGCAAGUCUGGUGCCAGCAGCCGCGGUAAUUCCAGCUCCAGUAGCGUAUAUUAAAGUUGUUGCAGUUAAAAAGCUCGUAGUUGGAUUUGUGGUGUGUUCCUUUUGUGUGGUUCUUGACGCACUUUUGGUUUUUUGCCAUUGGUGUUUGUCAGUAUCACCAACACAUCAUCCUUGAUGGGAUUUAGAGUCAUUUCGACUUUUUAUUCUCAUCAUCCUUUACUUUGAAAAAAUUGGAGUGAUUCAAGCAGGCGAAAUACAACUCAUUUUACGUGAGUUAUUCAUUUUUGCUUCUGCACAUGUUAGCAUGGAAUAAUGCAAGAGGACUUGGGUUUUCUCUUUCAUUGGUUUCAGGAAUCCGAGUAAUGAUUGAUAGGGACAGUUGGGGGUGCUCAUAUUCGACGGCCAGAGGUGAAAUUCUUGGAUUCGUUGAGGAUGAACAACUGCGAAAGCAUUCACCAAGGAUGUCUUCUUUAAUCAAGAACGAAAGUUGGGGGAUCGAAGAUGAUCAGAUACCGUCGUAGUCCCAACCAUAAACGAUGCCGACCAGGGAUCAGCGAGCGUUGACUUUGCAUAACCUUUCACUUCUUGUGAUGGUUAUUGCAAAUCUCAUUUAUUUGAAACGACCUCGUUGGCACCUUGCGAGAAAUCACCAGUCUUUGGGCUCCGGGGGGAGUAUGGUCGCAAGGCUGAAACUUAAAGGAAUUGACGGAAGGGCACAACCAGCAGUGGAGCCUGCGGUUUAAAUUGACUCAACACGGGGAAACUUACCAGGUCCAGACAUCAUAAGGAUUGACAGAUUGAAGHUCUUUCUUGAUUYKRUGG
RNAcentral lists this ribosomal RNA (1397 nucleotides) under Reticulamoeba minor. RNAcentral describes it as "SSU rRNA". It matches the Rfam family "Eukaryotic small subunit ribosomal RNA", at positions 79 to 1284 of the family's 1831-position model. The record is from RNAcentral. Lineage: Eukaryota; Cercozoa.